Molecule: ribosomal RNA, 621 nt
Filed under: uncultured archaeon
Lineage: Archaea
Description: bacterial SSU rRNA
Rfam family: Archaeal small subunit ribosomal RNA
Source: RNAcentral
CCCGACCGUGAGGGACGAAACCCAGGGGAGCGAACCGGAUUAGAUACCCCGGGUAGUCCUGGGCGUAAACGAUGCGGGCUAGGUGUCGGGGUGGCUUCGGGCUACCCCGGUGCCGAAGGGAGGCCGUUGAGCCCGCCGCCUGGAGAGUACGGCCGCAAGGCUGAAACUUAAAGGAAUUGGCGGGGGAGUACCACAAGGGGUGGAGCCUGCGGUUUAAUUGGACUCAACGCCGGGAAACUUACCGGGGGAGACAGCUGGAUGAGGGCCAGGCUGAAGACCUUGCCAGACUAGCUGAGAGGUGGUGCAUGGCCGUCGCCAGUUCGUGACGUGAGUUGUCCGCUUAAGUGCGGCAACGAACGAGACCCGCACCCCUAGUUGCCAGCUAUCCCCUUCGGGGGAUAGGGCAGCACUAGGGGGACUGCCGUCGAUGAGACGGAGGAAGGUGCGGGCCACGGCAGGUCAGUAUGCCCCGAUAACCCCCGGGCCACACGCGGGCUACAAUGGCUAGGACAAUGGGUUCCGACCCCGAAAGGGGAAGGUAAUCCCAUAAACCUAGCCGCAGUUGGGAUCGAGGGCUGCAACUCGCCCUCGUGAACGUGGAAUCCCCAGUAANNNNCGUGU